Molecule: ribosomal RNA, 900 nt
Filed under: Paraconiothyrium fuckelii
Lineage: Eukaryota; Fungi; Ascomycota; Dothideomycetes; Pleosporales; Didymosphaeriaceae
Description: partial large subunit ribosomal RNA
Rfam family: Eukaryotic large subunit ribosomal RNA
Source: RNAcentral
UCAAUAAGCGGAGGAAAAGAAACCAACAGGGAUUGCCCUAGUAACGGCGAGUGAAGCGGCAACAGCUCAAAUUUGAAAUCUGGCUCUCUUUGGGGGUCCGAGUUGUAAUUUGCAGAGGAUGCUUUGGCAUUGGCGGCGGUCUAAGUUCCUUGGAACAGGACAUCGCAGAGGGUGAGAAUCCCGUACGUGGGCGCCUGCCUUUGCCGUGUAAAGCUCCUUCGACGAGUCGAGUUGUUUGGGAAUGCAGCUCUAAAUGGGAGGUAAAUUUCUUCUAAAGCUAAAUACCGGCCAGAGACCGAUAGCGCACAAGUAGAGUGAUCGAAAGAUGAAAAGUACUUUGGAAAGAGAGUCAAAAAGCACGUGAAAUUGUUGAAAGGGAAGCGCUUGCAGCCAGACUUGCCCGCAGUUGCUCACCUAGGCUUUGGCCUGGGGCACUCUUCUGCGGGCAGGCCAGCAUCAGUUUGGGCGGUUGGAUAAAGGCCUCUGUCACGUAUCUCCCUUCGGGGUGACCUUAUAGGGGAGGCGUAAUGCAACCAGCCCGGACUGAGGUCCGCGCAUCUGCUAGGAUGCUGGCGUAAUGGCUGUAAGCGGCCCGUCUUGAAACACGGACCAAGGAGUCUAACAUCUAUGCGAGUGUUUGGGUGUCAAGCCCGGGCGCGCAAUGAAAGUGAACGGAGGUGGGAACCCUUUGGGUGCACCAUCGACCGAUCCUGAUGUCUUCGGAUGGAUUUGAGUAAGAGCAUAGCUGUUGGGACCCGAAAGAUGGUGAACUAUGCUUGAAUAGGGUGAAGCCAGAGGAAACUCUGGUGGAGGCUCGCAGCGGUUCUGACGUGCAAAUCGAUCGUCAAAUUUGGGCAUAGGGGCGAAAGACUAAUCGAACCAUCUAGUAGCUGGUUCCUG